GUGCUUACUUCAGCAACACAUAUACCAAAAAUUGAUGCCAUUCAGAGAUUAUUAGCAGGGCCUCUGAACAAAGAGGAUGUGCAAAUUCAUGAAACAUUUUAUAUUUUU
Molecule: small nuclear RNA, 108 nt
Organism: Pongo abelii (Sumatran orangutan)
Lineage: Eukaryota; Metazoa; Chordata; Mammalia; Primates; Hominidae
Source: Ensembl